This 30469-nucleotide long non-coding RNA is filed under the name Triticum aestivum (bread wheat). Its description in RNAcentral is "long non-coding RNA (TAES_LNC002703)". Lineage: Eukaryota; Viridiplantae; Streptophyta; Magnoliopsida; Poales; Poaceae. The record is from RNAcentral.
GCCAUCUUCCCUAGUUUUUGAUGAUUAGUUAGUUUGUGCUUUGAAUUUACUCUCCUUGUUUUACUACGAAGAAGCAAUUCCAUUGAUUAGAAGAAAAUGUCUAUUCUGAGGGCCUUAUGAGUUUUGGCUGCUAUAUAAUCAUAAAAUUUUGUAGUUCUUUUUCCUGUACCCUUAGUUCAAGUAUGUCUGCCACACAAUCAAAUAACAGAAGGUUGCGCCCUUGGAAAUACCAGAUGAUUUUCAGUCACUUCUUGCAUGAUCAUUCACUGCUCACUUUAAAUCAUUUGAACAUUACAGUAGCCUAGCCUCAAAGAUUCACAUUUCUCAGAAAUUAUACCUCAGGUUAGCUUUUGAAUUGCUAUCUUUCUAUCAUGGGAAGUCGUGUUUGAGUGUCUAUAUACCGCAAAGAACAGAAGGUUGUGCACUUGGGAGUACCAGCUGAUCGUCAGCCGCUGCUUUGCAUGUUCAUUCCAUGCUCGAUUUAACUCAUUUGAACGUUCUGAUAACCUCGAAGAUGCACAUUUUCCAAGAAACUAUAUCAUGACCAGGUCUGCUAUCGAAUUGUUAUCUUUCAAUCAUGGGAAGUCGUGUUCUAGGGUCCAUAUAUCCGUUUGUGCUGCCUGACAAAUAAUAUAUUGCUUAAUCCAUAUGGUCUGCAAGUCGGCGCGUCGUCAAUAUGCUUAUUUUGCUUAAAAAACAGCUGCCCGCUUGUGUUCUCCAAGUUUUAUUUCCGUCACGCUUGAGAACUCGGAUGGUUUCAUGACGUUUAAUUCGUUUCCCCGCAGGCAUCAUCCGUGAGGAAGUGUGGUUGCACCGGAUCUACGCGCGCAGCAAUAAGGAACUCAUUUCCCUCAUCAAAAUGACUCUGAUUGCAUUCCCUUCUGUUUCAUUUUUAUCCUUGAACUGCCCCAGUUGGUUCAUCUGCUGAAUGGUUACUUUGACAAACUUCCUGUUCGGCAAGAUACCUGAAAUGCUUUGUAUCUGUUGAUUUUCAGUCUUUGUAACAUGAUGAAUGCUUUCAAUAAUCUCAUGCGCACAUGUUUUUCCUUUCGGUAUUUGAAAAUCUUCUGAUGAUACGAGUUUUUUGGUGGUUCAAUUAUCUUGCCGCGCGCAUGGUUGAGGCCUGUGAGUUCUUAGGCUGGCCUUGCUGCUCUGGUUUAUCAAAUGUUAAUGGCAACGAAUCACGUGAAAACCGAUUUUUUUGGUGCAAAUCUGAAAAUUCCAACCAGAGCCAUCGGAUCCUGAACGGAUUCCUCCGCCUCAAACGCCCGGGCACGCUUGGGCGGAUGGCCCGGUCAGACGGGCUUCUCAAAUGCGCCUCUCAUAUCCAGCUUAAAUAUGGGAUGGAUAUGGGGGUCGAUAUGGGGGUGCCUGGGGGUCGAUAUGGGGGUGCCUGGGCGCGUCCACCACGUUGGACUGACGUCGAAGCUUGUCUCCUCCUUCGGAUUGAUGGCAUCGUGUGGUGACACUUUGACCGGUUGCGUAGUGGUUAGCCUGGCUAGUUAAGCUGGCCGCCGGCACCGAAACCCUACCCGCUCACAUUUUCCAUUCAUGUCCGCUGUCGUUGUCACUUUCCACUCCUCGUCCGUCACCACUAGUAGACAUUCCCCCGCUCUGCCACCACUAGUAGACAUUCCCCUGCUCUGCCACCACUGGUAGACAUGCUCCCCCUCCCCCCGCGUCGGGUAAGGAGCCCUCCAUAUCUAACAUCCAAGCGCGGGCCGCAACUCCUUAAGCAGAUCCGGGAAAGGUGCGAAGCCCGGAUCGCCGUGGGGCUACUUUCGAAUGCAGUAGAUUCGGAGGACUUGAGGAGGAGGAGGAGGAAGAGCCGGAGGAGGAUGUGGGGGACGCUCGGGACGCGGAUCUGCAGGCGGAGCAACAUGCCAUCCUCGAUUCCCCCCGCUUGGAGUCGGAUGCGAAGGCCAGAUUCCGCCGUCGGGAGGAAAUGGAGGUGGAGCACGCCGCAGAGGAGGAGGAGGAGCCAGAGCCCUCCUACGCGCCCGUCCACCCGACGCCCGGCACCGAUGUCUUGGACAUCUCCGACGAUGAAUUGUAGCUAGGGUACCGUAGUACGCAGGUUUAUUUUGCAUGGUUUGUAGGGCUCUAUGGGGUAAAAUAUGAGAAACUCAGAUGCAGAGAAGCAAAUUUGAAACGUGACUGGUCUCUGUCCACAGACGUGCCCGGACGUGUCCGUAGACAUUUGAGGGCCGGAUUUGGAAAGUCCGGCCAGCCUUAGGAAGACGCCAACCAGUUCCUCACCAUAGAUCCAUACGGGCACACUCCCCACAAAUCAGCACCGCCGCAUCCCCCGUCCCACGCAAACCCGCGACGGAGAGAAUGGCGAGCGCGGGGAGGAACCAGCGCCGGCGGGCGGAGGAGGCGCCGGGGGCGGGCCUGGACGACCUGAUGUCGCUCCCGCCGGAGAUGCUCAACGAGAUCCUCGCUCGGCUCCCCUUCGAGGAGCUGGUCCGCACCUGCCGCCUCUCCCGCGCCUGGCGCCGCCGCUGGGAAUCCGUCCCCGGCCUCGACAUCCAGUUCGACGACCCGUGGUCCGACGCCGCGCCCGACGCCCGCGCCCUGUGGCGAUGCUCCGCGCCCGUCGGCGGCUUCACCGCCCUCGUCCGCAUGGGCCACUUCCACCGCGCCGCCCGCUGGCUCCUAGCCCUGGCGCGCAAGCGCGUCCAGAAGCUCGUCCCCAGGUUCGACUACCCCGACUCGGCCCCCGUCGUCGGCCCCGCCCUCUUCUCCUGCGCCGCGCUCACCGACCUCGAGCUCUACGGCUACUGCCACCUGCCGCGCGCCCCGCCGGGCUUCCAAGGCUUCCCCAACCUCGUCACCCUCGUCCUCGACAACCUGCUCCUCCGUCUCCCCGGCGCCGCGGCGCAGCUCCAGCGCCUCAUCUCCUCGGCGCCCGGCCUCAGGGAGCUCUCGCUGCACAACCUGAAAGCCGGCAGGGCCCGGGCUGGCCUCGAAAUCUGCGCCAUCCGGGCGCCCAGCCUCCGUAUCCUCAGGCUCUUCAUCUCCAUCUUCCUCGACAACGGAUGCCGGCUCGCGGAGGACCUCCAGUUGCUGGAGGUGGCGUCCAUCUCCAUCGAUGCACUGUUAGGGACCCCAGCCUUCGUCGACACUUUUCGACAGAUUUCUAAUGUCAAUACGCUUUUCUUCUACACCGACUCAAAACAGGUACCCUACAUUGCGUCAAAUAUCCAUGGAGCAAUGAGUAUUGAGUAGUCGAAUUCUGAAUUUCAGUUGCAUGCUCAAUUCUAGUUCUGUAAAUUUCUUGCUGUAAACUGCAUUUUUGUCUGGUCGUCAUGACGAGCCAGCGGGUCAGGUCGAUGUUUGCCUUAAAAUGGAUGUCAAAUGCAGUUCAGAGUCUCCAUAAAUGCUUAAUGUUCCAGGGAGUAUCCAUCUGACCAAAUCGAGCCUGGGCCUAAGUUUUUCCAUAUCAAAGUUCUGUAACUUGUCCUCGUAAAUGCCCGGCUUCCAAUUUGAGGCGGCAUACUAACCUCGUAAGGUGAUGUUCGUUUGGUAGUAGGAUAGUAGAUCCAUUGUCUUUUAGUUGGACAAAAGCUGUGAGCCCUCCGUAAUGUGCAGUUGGUUAUGCUUAUGUUGCUGUGUUAGUUUUUUUCCAUCUUGUGUUUAUCUUAGUUGGAAGAAGCACACUGAUGUUUGUGAGUUGUGACUUGUGUCCCCUGCUCACCAUGUUGCCAAAACCUAAUAGAAGAGACAAGUUGCUGUUUCACACUGAAGCAGCAUCUUAACAAAAUAACAAGAGUUCUUUUACGGUACCUGAAAUAAAUAUGAGACGUCCGUUUUGGCAACUUGUUAUGAACUUGUUAAAACUAAUUGUCUCUUGGGGUUGUGAACUCUUGGGAUGUGUCCGGUUUUUCAUCCCUUUCUACAAAGGUUCAACCCUAAAUUUUUAAUUUAUUAAGAGGAUUGCAUUAUCGUGUGGGUAUGCCCCGCAAGUAGGCCACAAUGAGAACACCAAGAGGGAGUUCUGGGAAGGCCUGGAAGACAUGGUUAGGAGCGUAUCGAUUGGUGAGAAGCUCUUCAUAUGAGGAGACCUCAAUGGCCACGUGGGUACAUCUAACACAGGUUUUGAAGGGGCGCAUGGGGGCUUUGGCUAUGGCAUCAGGAAUCAAGAAGGAGAAGAUGUCUUAAGCUUUGCUCUAGCCUACAACAUGAUUGUAGCUAACACCCUCUUUAGAAAGGGAGAAUCACAUCCGGUGACUUUUAGUAGUGGCCAACACUCUAGCCAGAUUGAUUUCAUCCUCUCGAGAAGAGAAGAUAGGCGUGCGUGCCUAGACUGUAAGGUGAUACUUGGAGAGAGUGUUGUACCCCAGCAUAAGCUGGUGGUUGCUGACUUCCGCUUUCGGAUUCAUGUCCAGCGGGAUAAGCAUGCCAAAGUCGCUAGAACGAAGUGGUGGGAGCUCAAGGGGGAGGUAGCUCAGGCGUUCAAGGAGAGGGUCAUUAAGGAGGGCCCUUGGGAGGAAGGAGGGGAUGCAGACAAUGUGUGGAUGAAGAUGGCGACUUGCAUUCGUAAGGUGGCCUCGGAGGAGUUUGGAGUGUCCAGGGGAAGGAGGAGCGAAGAUAAGGAUACCUGGUGGUGGAAUGAUGAUGUCCAGAAGGCGAUUAAAGAGAAGAAAGAUUGCUUCAGACGCCUAUACCUGGAUAGGAGUGCAGACAACAUAGAGAAGUACAAGAUGGCGAAGAAGGCCACAAAGCGAGCUGUUGGUGAAGCAAGGGGUCGGGCAUAUGAGGACCUCUACCAACGGUUGAGCAUGAAGGAAGGCGAAAGGGACAUCUAUAAGAUGGCCAAGAUCCGAGAGAGGAAGACGAGGGAUAUUGGCCAAGUCAAAUGCAUCAAGGACGAAGCAGACCAACUCUUGGUGAAGGACGAGGAGAUUAAGCAUAGAUGGCGGGAGUACUUCGACAAGCUGUUCAAUGGGGAGAAUGAGAGUUCUACCAUUGAACUGGCCAACUCCUUUGAUGAGACCAUCAUGCGUUUUGUGCGGCGAAUCCAGUAGUCUGAGAUCAAGGAGGCUUUAAAAAGGAUGAAAGGAGGCAAGGCGAUGGGCCCUGAGGUGUGGAAAGGUCUCGGCGACAUAGCGAUAGUAUGGCUAACCAAGCUUUUCAACCUCAUUUUUCGGGCAAACAAGACGCCAGAAGAAUGGAGACGGAAUAUAUUAGUACCAAUCUUCAAGAACAAGGGGGAUGUUCAGAGUUGUACUAAUUACCGUGGAAUUAGGCUGAUGAGCCAUACAAUGAAGCUACGGGAGAGAGUCAUUGAGCACCGCUUAAGAAGAAUGACAAGCGUGACAAAAAAUCAGUUUGGUUUCAUGCCUGGGAGGUCGACCAUGGAAGCCAUUUUCUUGGUACGACAACUUAUGGAGAGAUAUAGGGAGCAAAAGAAGGACUUGCAUAUGGUGUUCAUUGACUUGGAGAAGGCCUAUGAUAAGAUACAGCGGAAUGUCAUGUGGUGGGCCUUGGAGAAACACAAAGUCCCAGCAAAGUACAUUACCCUCAUCAAGGACAUGUACGAUAAUGUUGUGACAAGUGUUCGAACAAGUGAUGCCUGACACUGAUGACUUCCCGAUUAAGAUAUGAUUGCAUCAGGGGUCAGCUUUGAGCCCUUACCUUUUUGCAUUGGUGAUGGUUGGGGUCACAAGGGAUAUACAGGGAGAUAUCCCAUGGUGUAUGCUCUUUGCGGAUGAUGUGGUGCUAGUUGACGAUAGUCGGACGGGGGUAAAUAGGAAGUUAAAGUUAUGGAGACAAACCUUGGAAUCGAAAGGGUUUAGGCUUAGUAGAACUAAAAAUGAGUACAUGAUGUGCGGUUUCAGUACUACUAGGUGUGAGGAGGAGGAGGUUAGCCUUGAUGGCCUGCUGGUACCUCAGAAGGACACCUUUCGGUAUUUGGGGUCAAUGCUGCAGGAGGAUGGGGGUAUUGAUGAAGAUGUGAACCAUCGAAUCAAAGUCGGAUGGAUGAAGUGGCGCCAAGCUUCUGGCAUUCUCUGUGACAAGAGAGUGCCACAAAAGAUAAGAGGCAAGUUCUACAGGACGGCGGUUCGACCCGCAAUGUUAUAUAGCGCUGAAUGUUGGCCGACUAAAAGGCGACAUGUUCAACAGUUAGGUGUGGCGGAGAUGUGUAUGUUGAGAUGGAUAUGUGGCCACACGAGUAAGGAUCGAGUCCGGAAUGAUGAUAUACGAGAUAGAGUUGGUGAUGUAGGGCGGAACCCUAGUUGCCGAUCUUUCACGUUUGGAGGGGAAUCCUACCAAGAACACGAAGAACAAACAGAGGGAAGCGAGAGGAAAACAUGAGAAAACACUCAACCAACGAGAAUAAAGUCACACAUGUGCUAGAUCAUCGAGACACAAAGAGAUACACGAUCCAUAAUCAACAAGGGACGAUACAUAGGGUAACCGGUUCUUCUCUGAGAGGAGGUCUUGAAUCCGCGAGGGGAUCUUCCCGUAAAGGGGUCUUGAAUUCAGGUGGAUCUUCUCCGAAGAGGCCGCAGUCUCUCACGAGGAGGAGAUCCGUAUGGAUGAGCAAAUCUCUAUCUCAAAUGAGCUAAACCAAUGCUAACCCUAAAACGUAGGUGGAGGGGGAGUAUAUAUAGUCUAAGGGGUACAUGGGCUUUCGGCCCGGAUACACUGCACGCAGGAAGUACGGGCCGGAUGUCCGGGCGUUGGGGCUGAAUGUCCGGGCUGGCGAGAUCUAGCUUCUGGACGUUUUGUGACGGGGCGUCGGAUGUCUGGGCUGUGGCCGGAUGUCUGGCGGCUCGCGAGGGGCCGGAUGUCCGGGCUAGCUUGGCCGACUCUGGUGCUCUCUGGAUAGAAGGGGGCCGGAUUUCCGGGCGUUGGGCCGAAUGUCCGGGCUUGGCCGGAUGUCCGGCUGCUGUAGCAGCAGGCUCUUCUUCCUUCUCCUUCCUUCGCUCCCGCGCACACUUGGCCUUGGUCCUUGGGCUCUCCAUGGUCUCCUCGGGUGUACCUGAGUAUGCACAAGGUCCGCUCUUGAGGUAGCAUCCAUGUCUUACAUGCAGAAAGGGAAGAUUCGGAAAGGAGCGAGUUCACCUUAGGUCCAAAGGUGUAUGCUCGAGGGCUCAUCGUAUGGACAUUUGGGGCUUGGGGAGUAGUCAUAGUGUACAUGGGGAUGAUCGUAGGAUGCUCCGCAUCAUCUCCCCCCCCCCCCCCGGGGAAAGAUCCGACCUCGGAUCGUGAUCCUCAGCACCAUGGAAACGGUUGUCGUGGACGGAGUUGAAGGCAUGACGCAAUCCAAGUACUCCAAGGUGUCUCCGGUAUGUGGUACAUGCAAAAUGAGCAAACACAAGCGACACUCGGAAAUACAAUGGUUAGCGCACUCAAAAUGUCCAUCAAUUAAGCGUGAGUCCGUGCGAAUGGGUAGUGCGUGACAAAGCGCAUGAAGCUUAUCAAGAUGAUAUAGAAUGAUAUGCAAAGCAUUCAUGGGAUAAUUAGCAUGGUGCACAAAGCUGCAAAUUCUACCAUUGUGCAAAAUGAUGUCAUAGAGAGACGGUUUAUCAAGAGCAUGAACAUGGCAAUGGAUGCUCAAGAUGUGUAUGUAAUCAUGCAAUUGAUGGUAGGCAAUAUGAUCAUGUUGUAUGAAUAUACCAUCGAGGAAGAUCACAACAAAUUUGCUAAGUGAACAAGCUCAUAUAUCAUGGCUGACAUGGGAAUACAAGAUGCAACAAGGCAAUUAUAAUGCGAGUCAAUCCAUGCAUAGGGUGCAAACUUGUGGUGAGUAUGAAAUGUCCAUCGAGCAUGACAUAUAUGAGCACAAUCAACAAAUAUGGAGGUGUUGGUGUACCAAUGCUCGAUGUCGUGGCAUGAGUGGAGUUCCGAAGGUGCAUCCAAUAAGUGCGAGCGCUCCUCAAUGUGAAGGUCCAUAGAGCCAAUCGUCAAUGCCGGUCCUCCCUCGAAUAGAUGUAUCAUGUAGACAAGAAGAAGGAAACAACAAUGAAAGAGUGACCCAUCCAAUAUGCGUAUUUGAGGAUGGCUCAAAGAGAGGGAGUUCAUCUUUAUGAGAAUGUCGAAAAUGUUGGUGUCGCACAUCGUGUAUGCCUUCCCAUGACCAAGUUGUCUCAUCAUGGUUCCGCCUUGUGAAUCCUUCAAAAUGAAAGAACAUGGCAAACACUCGGAAAAACAAAUGAGGUUAGUGCAAAUGCAACACCUAUCAUUCGUGAGGUAAGAUACCCAACAAGUAUAUGCAUCAUGCUCAUCAUAAGAAAGGACAAGGGAGCAUUUCAUAGUAUGGAGGCAUGUGAUGCAAGAACAACCAAAUACAAGAGGCUCAAGUAAACAAGCAUGCAUCACAAGGUGUCAAAGUCUCCAAGAUCAAUAAGCAUAGUAUGGUUGCACUCAAUACAAGUGGAUAUGAAAGAGUCAACUAAUGGACCCAAGAGACAAUGAUCAAGAUAUAUCAUGUGAGAGGCGUGAGCAUAUAUGUCAUUAACCCAAGAAAGCAAGUAAUAGUGGAACAUGGGUGAUGCAACAUAGCAAGCCAUCAUAGCGAUUAAGUCAAGCAAGCUAGUAGUGCGAAGAUGCAACAUACUAGAAGGAAUCAUGGCAAGCAUGUCAUGUGUGCAAAUAGUGGGCAUGAAUAAUUCACAUGUCAUAGCACAAGCAUGAAAGCAAGAUAUGAGUAGAAUAACAUGAAUGUAUUGGUGAGACGCCAUGUGUAAAUAGCAAUGGGACAUCAUGACUCUCCCAACACCACAAUCAACAAUAGCAUGAAGCACAUGGUAAGCAUGGCAAUAGCAACAAGGAUCUCCACCAAGCAUGCAAAUACACAUAGUAGUAGCAUAAUGGUGAAUCAUGGGUAGAUGCAAGCAAGGGUCACAAUUGCAUGGCAAAGGCAUAGGAGCGAAAAUAACAUGCAAAGUGAACACGGUAAAAUGAGCAUAAGGUGACAAGUGAUAUAUAGCCCAUAGCCGUGUGAGAGCUAAGUAGAAGAGAUGCGCGUAGUCCUUGCGCGAAGGGAACGGUGGUAAGGAUAGUCCACGGAAUCUCAAACCGUCGUUGCUCUCAAGAGCUCGUUUCGUCAACUUUUGGGAUUGAGAGGUUGACGAGUAUACAUGAGUACCUACACAAAACAAGGGCAAAGGGAAAAUUGUGUGUGCGUGAUAGAUGUACACAUCAUCCAUCAUGAUGCGCACGUGCAUGUGUCGGUUAGCACAAAAUAUCAAAUGCUCAAAUAAAUGAGGUGCGUGAUAUAGAAACAUGUCAUCCAUCAUAAGAGGUUUGUUAUUAUGUAUAGCAUAAUGGAGACUCAAAUUGUGUAAAUGCAUCACGAGCAAUAUCUAGAGCACUGUUAUUCAUGGAAUGCAUAUGGUGUACACUAUCAUGGGAAUCAUGCAAAGUAUGGAAUGCAUCAAAAUCUCCUAAUAUGUAUGAGGAAACUAUGGGGGUCUCCUCUUGAGCAUGAGUAGCAACAUCACAUGAAGAAUAUUGACAACAUCCAAGACAAAGCAUAUUUGGUUCAAUGUGAUCAUGGCAUGGCAUAGUAGAUGAAUUGCGCAAAUCAUGUAAAGGAAGCAUGGCAAUAUCAUCACAUGAAAAACAAAAGCCAAUGACCAUCAUCUCGUCAUCUAUGACAUAAGUGCAAAUAGGAUUUAUUUUAAUGGGGCAUGCAUAGUUACUAUGUUGAGAUUGAAAUGAUGCAAUAUGGGAGAUCUCACUCAUAGCAUAUGACAAGUUCAAUGGUUUGUCAAACAUGACGGUGACCAAAAGAAUUUUCACAUGAUAUCCUAUGAAGCAUAGCAUCACAACUAGGCAACUCAACAUGCUCAUCAUCAUAUUCAUCAUAAAUAGGUAAGUCAUGACAUGAGGAAGUCGCACUAGCAUGAAGCAUGGGAAUAGGUGGACCAACAUCAUGCAAGCAAUCAUUGUCAAGAGAGUCCAUUAGUGGGACAAGGGAAGCACCAUCACCUAUGUUAUCUUUGGAGCGUCGCUCAUGUGUUGUAGGUGAGGCGUUGAAGAUCCACUCGUGGUCAUCUUCAUCUUGAUGGGACCAUGUGGGGGGUGCAUCAUUGUCCACCAUGGCCAUCGUCGUCUCCAUUGGAGGUGUGUACUCGUCGAGGAUAGGCAUGUCGUCAUGUAGGAGACCUUAGCACCAAAGAAGAAAACACACUAGGAGUAGAGGUUAAGUCGUUAGAAAUCAUAGUGGCCUUACGUGCCCUCUCAACUACCUCACUCUAAGUGUUGUGGCUCACUCACUCCCUCAAAGAUGCACUCACUCAUAUGGUUGGUGGAGUCACUCAAAUGGCGCUCAACCUCACAUAGGAUGUGUGGCAUACUCUCAUGUGUGGGGCUAGUGGUGGUCACACUCAUCCUUUCAUGGGAAAUGCUCUCAAUGUCACGUAUGGUGGAGUCACUCAUCUCACUCAUGGGGUGGUGGCUCUCCUCACAUGACAAAUGGGGCAUCUCGACAUAUGUGGGUGUCGGAGAGAUGUAGGUGCAAAUGUCUCCAUGCGCGGUCGCGCAGCUUGACUCGGAGUAUGAGUCCAAUAUGGGCGCCGUCUUCAUGUUGUUGAAGAGGUUCGCGCUCGUCGCCGUGGUCGAAGGGGAUGGCCCUUGCUCGACAUUCUUGUCGCCGUCUUGGUGUGGGAGGCCCAUAUGAUGUGGCACCUCGUAGCUCGUCUCCAUGACCGAAGGGAAUUUCCCAUGCUCGGCCAUCUUCCUUGAGGGGCUUCCGAAGAUGGAAGUGUCGCCCUCGCUCGUAGGUAGUCGCCUUGGACUUGAUGAAGUCGAUGUAGGCGUACACGUGGGAAGUAAGCGAAGAUGCCGUACGUCCAAAGGCGAAGAUGCCUUGAUAGCACUUGGCGAAGAUGCCGAAGUGGUGGUGGUAGCCGUAGCUCUGUCUUGGUGGUGCUUGUCUCGCGGUCUUCUCUUUUGCUCAUGAAGCUUGGACUUGGCGUGAAGUAGGGCUUGGUGGGACCUGUGCAUUUGCGCUUGUGGAGCAUCUUCAUGAUGAUGGUGUCGUUGUCGUACUUGAGCUCGUAGUAGAUGUCGUUCGUCGUCAAAUUGCACACGAUGCUUGGAGGUGACUUGACCUUCAUGACGAUGUUGAUCACGAACAUGAUGGUGGUCAUCACAAAGAUGUGGACGUGGACGAAUUUCGCUUGCAUCAUUUUCGCGCUCUGAAGACUUGUGGCUUGAAUGUCGCCGCCUUGAAGAUGACGCAGGGGAAGAAGACUUGAUCAAGGCUCUAAUCUCCUCCAUCCUUGCAUCUUGCUCCUCUUUAUGUGCGGAAAGCUUCUUGUCGAUGUAGUCCCUUUUCCUUGCUUCGGAGUGACGAAUGUCGAUGGAGAUGUUCUCGAUGCGCUCUCGCAUUCUUGAUUGUGCGCCUUGCAUUUGUUGUUGUAGAUCGAAGAUGGACGCUUUGGUGAUGUAGUUGUUCACGCCGUCGUGGUUGUCGAAGACCGGAGAGGAAAUGCCUUGCCUAUCCAUCACAAGACUCGAGCAAAUAUGAGUGGGAGAAAGAGAAUAACUAGACCAAAUGUACCUUAACCAAUGUUGAAGAUGGAUCAAUGAUCACUCAAAUGUGUAACAAGGAAAUAGCACAAUUGGUACCAAUUCUUGUCGGUUCUCACACCUACACAAGUAAAGCUUAUAGUGGAGCUCGGUGAGGAUAGUGGCACAAAAAUUUGAUGCAAAAUGUUAGCAAGAGUCAAUAAUAUUGAAAGAGAUUCACAAAUUUGCAAGCGAAACAAGUAGACCAAUAGCAAUGAAAGGUACACGGAAACACACACGGAUAGAUAAAUGGGGUCGUGCAACCAAGGAAUGAGCACAAAAUGUGGAAUCCACGGAAAACGCUCGUGUUGCACAACUCAAGAGAGACGCUAGCACGAUUGCUCAAUAGGCGGAUACGAAACUUGUGCACAACCUAUAAGAUGCAAAAUGUAGCAACUUUUAUUCCAAGUAUGCUAUAUGUGUGGUAUUUCGGUGAUAUGACAAUCUUAAUGUAGUAUGAUGCUAUGGUUCUUGUUUAUAAGCUCUUUACUUAUCUUUCCCUCUUUGCUUAAAAGCUUGUUUGGCUCUUUCACUUGUGAGCUCUUUUCUCAUGCAAAACUUCACGAACCAAGAUAGCAAUUGUGCAUGCUAUGACAACUUUGUGACACAAAAGAUGAUACCAAGAUAUGCACCACUAUGAUAUGGUAUGUAUUCUAUGGAGUAUGAUCACUAAUGUGCACAAGUUACGUUGCCGGCAAUACUCAAAGGCUAGUCUCGAUGGAUAAGCAACGCAAAAGUAAGGCUAUGUGGUUAUCAAUGCAAUGGCAUGGGGAAUAUACAAUGGAGGGAUACCAUGAUACCGAGAUGAUAUGGAGGUUACCGUCUGUGGCGAUGAUGAGUGGCAGUGUUCUUGAUGUAGAAACCAAGAUGAUGGAGACUCGUCCCUAAGUAGCCGAAACACCUUAGGAAACGGAAAAACCGCGAACUCAAAAUCUCAAACGUCAAAUGUCAAAAUGGUGGUAGUGGAAAGCGGUGGUGGUUUGCACUUGGCAAUGCGGAAGUGAAAUGAUGGGCUAUAUGUGUGUCGGAGUUGAAGAUGCUGUCCCUAAGUAGCCGAAACACCUUAGGAGACACAAGCCACAACUCAAACAAGCUCGAACAAAAAUUGGGUUAAGUUGGAUGGGUGGAAAUAUAUGGUGGGCAAGGUUAUGCGGAAAUGCUGGUGGUGGUUGAUGAAGAAGCAACCGCCCCUAAGUAGCCGAAACACCUUAGGAGACUCGAUUCACUACUCAAGCAACCACUAAAGCUAUAUGGAUCAAAAUGGGUUAGGUUGCGGAAGUCGGUGGUGGCUAUGUGGAUGAUAUGGUGGAGGGCCUAGACAAACUUGCCAAAUUUUGGAAAAUUUGAUGGAGUCAAAUGGUGAUGGAACCUAUCUAGAUGGAUGGGGGAUGUCAAUAGCUACUCAACGAGCUAAAGAACGCGAAAAUCAGACUCCGGAUGUGAAAGUUAUGGACAAAACGGUGAAACGGGAAAAGCUGAAUUGCCAGGGGCCGGACAUCCGGGGCUCGGGCCGGAUUUCCGGGACCUGAUGUCCAGAACCUUGCGCGAAAAUGCGCUCCAGGAGCCGGAUGUCCGGGCUAAUGGCUGGAUGUCCGGGAUGGCCGGAUGUCCGGGGGUCGGGCUGGAUGUCCGGGCUCCAAAUCCGAGGAUGAACUCGAGGAACUCGAUUUUGGGGCGGAAAUUGAAUGAUUUCGGGGGCAAAAUUUGAUGGAUUUCGUGGAUGGAAAGUGGGGAAACUUGGGGAGAUGCUAGAUCCACUCGAAACCAAGCAAAUCCGUGGAUCAAAAUCAACAAAACAUCAUCAACCAACAAAUAACAAAAAAAAUUGGGGGCUAUUUUUGGUGGGGAUUUUCGGAUUUAGGACGAAAUCAACAAAAUCAAGCUAGAAAACAAAGGGUAGGGGCUCCAAAAACGUGAUCAACGUGGCUCAUGAUACCGAGAUGAUGUAGGGCGGAGCCCUAGUUGCCGAUCUUUCACGUUUGGAGGGGAAUCCUACCAAGAACACGAAGAACAAACGGAGGGAAGCGAGAGGAGAACACGAGAAAACACUCAACCAACGAGAAUAAAGUCACACAUGUGCUAAAUCAUUGAGACACAAAGAUAUACACGAUCCACAAUCAACAAGGGACGAUACAUAGGGUAACCGGUUCUUCUCCGAGAGGAUGUCUUGAAUCCGCGAGGGAAUCUUCCCGUAAAGGGGUCUUGAAUCUAGGUGGAUCUUCUCCGAAGAGGCCGCGGUCUCUCACAAGGAGGAGAUCCGUAUGGAUGAGCAAAGCUCUAUCUCAAAUGAGCUAAGCCAAUGCUAACCCUAAAACGUAGGUGGAGGGGGAGUAUAUAUAGUCUAAGGGGCGAAGGGGUACAUGGGCUUUCGGCCUGGAUACACUGCACGCAGGCAGUAGGGGCCGGAUGUCCGGGCUUUCCCAAGACGCCGGAUGUUCGGGCGUUGGGGCCGGAUGUCCGGGCUGGCGAGAUCCAGCUUCUGGACGUUCUGUGACGGGGCGCCGGAUGUCCGGGCUGUGGCCAGAUGUCCGGCGGCUCGCGAGGGGCCGGAUGUCCGGGCCUGGUGGCCGGAUGUCCGGGCUGGCUUGGCCGACUCUGGUGCUCUCUGGAUAGAAGGGGGGCGGAUUUCCGGGCGUUGGGCCGGAUGUCCGGGCCUGGCCGGAUGUCCGGCUGCUGUAGCAGCAGGCUCUUCUUCCUUCUCCUUCCUUCGCUCCCGUGCACACUUGGCCUUGGUCCUUGGGCUCUCCAUGGUCUCCACGGGUGUACCUGAGUAUGCACAAGGUCCGCUCUUGAGGUAGCAUCCAUGUCUUACAUGCGGAAAGGGAAGAUUCGGAAAGGAGCGAGUUCACCUUAGAUCCAAAGGUGUAUGCUCGAGGGCUCAUCGUAUGGACAUUUGGGGCUUGGGGAGUAGUCGUAAUGUACAUGGGGAUGAUCGUAGGAUGCUCCUCAUCAGUUGUGGUAGCACCAAUUGAAGAUAAGCUUGUCCAACAUCGUCUGAGAUGGUUUGGGCAUAUUCAGCGCAGGCCUCCAGAAGCUCCAGUGCAUAGCGGAUGGCUAAAGCGUGCGGAGAAUGUCAAGAGAGGGCGGGGUAGACCGAAUUUGACAUGGGAGGAGUCCGUUAAGAAAGACCUGAAGGAUUGGAGUAUCACCAAAGAGCUAGCUAUGGACAGGGGUGCGUGGAAGCUUGCUAUCCAUGUGCCAGAGGCAUGAGUUGGUUGCGAGAUCUUAUGGGUUUCACCUCUAGCCUACCCCAACUUGUUUGGGACUAAAGGCUUUGUUGUUGUUGUUGUGUAUUGCAUUAUCGUGUGGAGUAUCGAGCAGUCAUCUGAGAUAUUAACGCUAAGAGCUUGGUUGUAACUAUUUUAUUUGUCAACUCCGUAAUGAUAGUUGUUUGGUGCGUGGAUAAGCACUCAUGUGUUCACCCUUUUAGUUUUUCUUUUAGCGUAACAGGACUGGGACUUUGCCCUUCAUUUUAGAUGAGUGUCAUGAUCCUUUUUUUUUAAGCUUGAAGUGUUAGGAUCUUAUGGACAGGCACCUAUGGAAAUCAGCUAUGCAGCUUUUUACAUUGUGAUUUCACUCAUGCAAUACACUCUAGAUGCAGCAAAUAAACAUUGGUAACAAAAUCACUCUUAGCUUCUCAGCUUCAAGUAUUAUAUAGACAUAAUUGAUUACUGUUAUAUACCAUCCCAAUGUAAAGUUGCAUCAGGACCAUAUGCUAGUCUAAUCACUAUGUUGUUAUGUUUUCCAGAUUAAAGGAAAUCCGCUGGAAGGGAUUUCAUGGAAGUUUAAGAACUUGAGGUUUGCAGAGCUGACUGCAAUUUUGGCAAACUCCCAAGCAUCAGGUCGAUAUUUUCUUUGCUGAGAUUUGGCCCUCACCUUGAAGAACUCCAGAUUUUGGUAAUAUAAGAUGCACCCCUUGAACCUGUAUGUCUCAGUUAACAGACAACCGUUGCUGCAUUGAGUUGUUUAAUUGACACUGCAAUUUUGGACUUCCUUAUGUAGGCAGAGAAUCGUUCCGACCUAUUCAAAAAUCUAGAUCCUGCUGCGCUAGAUGAUGCUGUCCGUGCUGACACCAUUGAUCAGGAUAUUCUUGAUGCAGAGAUAAGCGAUGACUUGUUUGCCAAUCUCAAACACAUCUCACUGCAUGGUAUGGGUUCCUUACGAAAUGACAUGUGGUUUAUGAAGUCUCUGCUAUCCAAGACAGGAUUGCUUGAAUCGUUUGUCGUCACUUUCAACUAUGGAGAAGAAACCGAAUCUUAUGUGGAAGCAUGUGAAGAGUUAGAAGCAUGCGAAAAGGCGUCCCCCCAAGCUCAGCUGGAACUAAGGCCUCGAAAAUUUCCAGCCUCAAACCUGGAGGACUCUCGAGUACUUUCAAAACUCCAAUCCUUUCAGUUGCUAACUGCUUAAACCAUGGAUGAAUAAAAGAUGUAGGUGUUGACUGUUGUCGUAUGAACCUCUAGCUUGUUUUCCUUUUUGAGGUGGAUUUGCACCAAUUUCCAUGUCUGUGACUGGUUGUUUCAGAUGCACAGAUGAACCAAGAUAUGGUACAUUUUGUAGAUCCCCAGAAGUGCCUCAUGUAGUUAUAUCAACUCUAUGAUAUGGCAGAAUGUUCAUAGACAGCAUUUAUUCAGUAAUGCUGAACUGAGCUCUUACGAAUGCCUUGCAAGCAGAAUUCUGCUUUCUUUUGCAGAUUGUAUAAUCCCUGUUGUGUUUACCGAUAGUCUACUAUGUUGGCAUUUCUGGUGUUGACAGACAACAGGAGAUACUGGUAACCAUCGUGCAUCUUUUGAGAAAAAGUUACGUCGUGUCUGAAUUGAUGGUUUCAAAUCAAAAGGGUAUUGCGAAUUUGCGCUGGUGAAUGUGUUUGACAGGCUGUUGGUAGAUGUUACCACUUACCAUUUAUUAUCUUUUCUUGGCUCAAAACGAUCUCAAUAUCAAGGUUGUUAUUUUGCUGAAACCGUAUGCUUUUCAGGUCCAUAUUGUACUAACCUUCAGUCAAUGGUGUGAUGCUUUAUGCCACAAGCAAGCAAGCAAGAGCGCCCGCACACACCACACACAUUUGUGGCCUCCUGAUCGAGGACGAAGUAAACUCAAGUGAGUAAUUCCGAGAGAAAACCGUCCGUCCAUGGAGGGAACUGCUCGUCGACGCCGCUGCUUCCAGAAGGAGCCACGUUGAUCAGUUGGGUUGGUUCACUUCAGGAGAAGAAGGAGCAGCCAGAGUAUUGCUGGACUCUGCGAUGAUGGGGCUGAAGGUUGCCAUUUGCCACCCUUCUCAUGAGAUACCCUAUUCCCCCCCUCUUCUUCUUCUUCUUCUUCGUCGAUUUGUUCUUGAACUUGCUUAGCCUUCAAAGCUAGAUUGGACUUCUUGGACCCAAGAGGGAGGUAGUAAGCCUUUCUUUUUUGAAUGUGGAACACAAUUGUUGGUUGGUUGCUGAGGAAGUAGUGCUCCAAGAAACUUGCUAGUGGGCCUUCACUGGGCUAGUGGCUCGAAACCAUAGGUAAUCUUAAUGGGCUAUUCAAUAUAUGUGCUGUCCUCACCUAUUGAGUCACUCAUUGGUGGAGGAGGAGCCAAUGGCCUGGCUUGGACUACCCGAUGUCACUUCUGCCAGAGAUGCUUGACAACAUCUUCGCUCGGCUCUCUUUUAAGAAGUUGGUCGGUUUUACCAAAAUAUUCGCGCAACUUGUAAAAAAUUUGAAAGCAUAAAAAAGAAGUUCAUGACAAUUAAAAAAUAUUCCGGUAUUUAGGAAAAUGUGUAUACAGUGUAAAAUUUUUUUGUGACUACAUAAAAAAUGUUUCAUACAAAUAAAAAAAUGUAUGUGACAUUUUAGAAAAAAUGUUUACUUAUUUCAAAUAUGUACGACACAUUUUUGAAAAAUAUUUAUACAUUUUUUUAAAAUACGUACUGUAAAAUAAUUGUUUCUUACCAUUGGAAAAAAUGUAUGUCACAUUUUGAGGAAAUAUUUGCUCGUUUCUAAAAUGUUCGUGGCAUUUUAACAAAUGCCUAUACAAUGAAAAACAUGUUUAAUUGGUUUUACAAAAAUGUUUCAUGCCAAUUAAAAAAACUCUAACAUGAAUUUGAGAAAUGGUAACAUGUAUCGAGUUCGAAUCGUGGCAGAUAUCAGCCUGCCGUAAAGGUGCUCGAGAAGCAUGGGCCAUGAUCAAGACAUGCUAGUGUCUGCUAGAGAUGGAGGAACUAGCCCGAGUUGGCCUUGCGGGGCCUGACGGGGAAGAAAUAAAAACUAGCGUGAAUUAUGAGAACGUCAUGCCUGCAGCUCGGCUAUCCGAUAAGGAUUGUCGCCUGGACACACUUAUAGAUGGUUUUGAAUAACUUUAUGUAAAAUAGUUUAUGCUAUUUUACGUAACCUUUAUGUAUCUAUGUACGUUUAGUUUAUAUCUCAUAUCCGCAGAUGUUAUACUUCGUUAACCAACUAUCGGAUUCUACCUCUUCGGUCAGGGGCCGAGGAGUGUUCCUACAAAUGGACCGAGAGUAUCGAACCACACUUAGAAGGAACAAGGCAAUCCAGCCAUAAGGUCAAAACGUAAGUCUCGCAGAGAGUUAUGCUAUAUUGCUUUUUAACUCAAGUCGCAUCUUUAGCGAAAAAUAGUUCCUCUAUCAGUUCCUUUUCCCGGGGUGUCGAUUUAACUGCGACCAGGUAGCCAAUAAUUCCGGCACUUGCGUCUGAGGACCUUUAUUUCAGGAAUAUUUUUGGAUUCGACGGGUUUGAAAUCUCGUUCUACUUCUGUUUUGAAGAGAAGACUAUAUUUUCACUUCCUUCGCUGAUGACCAAUUAUAUUCUUGUGACCGCUAGUUUUCGGCUUCACCCGUCUGAGUUACUUACUCGGUCAAUCCGGAAGUAACAAUCGUAGAGUUGCUCUCCUUAGCCUCUAGCCGAAUGUGCCGGAAGCGUAGAGGGUAAGCACAAGAGUGAGGCAACUCGGCUUGGCAAAAUAUCUCAAGUCAAAUUGAUGCAUAUCGUGGCUUUAUAACGAAUUGUAGGAAGGCGUCACCUGUCAUACGCGUGUGGUGCCGAUAAUGCAAGCACACGCACACGUGUUUGGUAUGCCCCUAGUUUUGCAUCCAAGGCACUACAUUGUCCAUACGGUCACACAAUAGUUGUAGUAUUAACGGCACACGAAGUUGCAACACCCCAUCCCUCCCACCGUCAUUGUCUGUAAUUCCCCAAUGGAGAGAAUGGCAGCGUGAGUUCCUCCUCCAUGAGACACCGGUAGGUUGAGGAGGUAUUGGUGACUGGCCCGGAUUAAUUGAUGUUGCUUCCACCGGAGAUGCUCGACAACAUCCUCGCUCAACUCCCAUUUGAGAAGUUGGUCAGUGGUGUAUACAAAAUGUUGGCACAACUUUAAAAAAUGUUGAUAGCAUUAAAAAAUGUUUGUCACGAUUACAUUUUUUUUGUAUUUCAAAAGAUAUAUGUGAUUUUUAAAUGUGUAUACAAUGUAAGAAAAAGUGUGUGCAUUGCAAAAAAAAUGUUUCGUCCCUAUAAAAAUGUAUGUUACAUUUAAGAAAGAAUUCACGUACUUCAAAAAUAUGUAUGUCACAUUUUUUGGAAAUACUUAUACAAUGUGAAUGAAUUUUUGCGUAGUAUAAAAAUUUGUUUUGUACAAUUCAAGAAAAUGUAUGUGACAAUUCAAAGAAAUAUUCUUGUGGUUUUAAAAAUAAGUUCAUGAAUUUAUAUAGAAAUGUUUAUACAAUACUAAAAAAUGUUUGAGUGGUUUAAUAAAAAAGAAAUCGUCCCAAUUCAAUAAAUGUACAACGUGUAUUUGAAAAAUGGUCGUAUCGAACAAACGUCCGAAGCAUGAAUGGAGAAACAACUCUAGGCCAAAAUUUAUAGUUUGCAUACUAAAUAUACACUUGAGUUUUUAUACUCAAAUAGCAUAAAAAUUGUGUUAACCAUAUAUAGAAAAUUUUAACUAUAUCCAAGAACUUUCAACAUUUUAUGUGGCGUACAGCCUUGUGUCCUAGCUAACAAUGGAAAAAGUUAACUUCGAGCGGUCUUUCUGGGUUGCGUGAUGCAUAACUUAUGUACUUAUCUACAGAUCAACACGUAUUUUGUGUCGCCACUCUACUUAGAGAGAAAAAGGAGUGUAAAUUGCGUGAAAUCAAAAAAUGUACGAGUGUAAACCGCAUGAAACCAGGAAGCCAAAAGUAUAAACUGCAAGAAAAUAUAAAAAAUCUCUUGGGGUCAGGCUUAUUUUGUUUGGUCUUACCUAUAGCCAAGGGAGGAGCUAGGUUGCACUAAGCGAUAGCACACUACUAUGGUUCACUACAAUAUCCUACACAUGUGUGCAUGGACAUUAUGCCCCGAAUGUGGCUAGGGGUUGGGUCAGCUCCACCCCCGGUUAUGAUCUAACCAUAUAUUGAAAGCUUUAACAACUUAAGCAAAUAUUUAACCCCCACACAAAUUAACCAUAUGUGGUUCAAACUUUUGUGUCCUACCUAAACAUGAGAAAAUGCAUAUGGAAGUAUUUAAUUUAUGACAAAUAGAUCAUUGCAAUAAGGAUGAUGACAUCAUGUAGACAGUAAAACUAUCAUCCAAGUGAUCAUCAGACUUCAUAGGUUGCUAGAACCUCCAGUAGACUCCUUUCCCACCGUGUUCGCGGAUCUUUCCCAAAUCAGGGAGUGACAAGCCACAAUUCAUUACACUCUAUAGAGGUGCUCUACUUAAUCCACGAGCGAUUCACUUAGCUCUUUUGCCAAGUUUGUAAUGCACAUCCAAGAUGCAUGGCCGGGUCUAAGAUCCGAGUCUUUCACCCUUUCAUGUCUGACGAUGCCCCUGCCCCUGGCUCAAGAGGUAUUGUGUGUGUCACCCGAAAUCUGUAACAGGUAAGGUUUAUAUGGCCCCAUGACCGAUGAACAUUUAUGUCGCCCUGGCGAUCAAGGAUUGACGACCCUUGUCGGAGUAAUGGGCCACGGGUAGCCUAACCCGAGUCCCUGAGCAUUUCAAGACUUUGGGCCGGCUUCGCCUCGCGAGACUCCAGAAUGAAGCACCGCCUUCCGGUGACCGGCUGGCUCGAACCGCCCGAAGGCGGCCGAGCACCAGCCGACGGCGCCAAGACCGGCCGACUCCUAGCAGACGGCCUCCGGAGAGGCCGACUUCUAGCAGGCGGCCACCCGGUGCCCUCAAAGUCUGCGCCUCUCGUCAAGAGGACAAGACAGGGUGAGGCUACAGUGUAGCCCCUCACCCCCGGAUCCCGGGCUCGACAUGGCUACAGUGCCCCAUACAGGCGGAGAUCUUCACACGACGCAGGACUGUAGCCACUUCCCCUUUGACGCCACUUCUGACCGGCGGAGCCCUAUUCCCACGAUGGUCUGUCGGUACGGCCCGCAGGCGGCGGGCCCUACCCGGCAGAGAGAGCCCAGAAGACGGCGGAAGCCAGACCAGCCGGAUCCACAGGAGGCCGGCCUCCAGCAGGCGGCCAGUCCCUCCCUCAAGAUCCGUAUGCCAUUAAUCAGAUGAGGCGUGGUGUGGCUACAAUGAACUCCCACCAGGCGGCGGGACUAUAGCCACGCUCCCCUGACCAAGCCUGCGUCAUUAGCAUCACGACUACAGUGACCAGCCACCAAUCAGACCCGCCAGCGGCGGGAGCGGCCUGUCAGCUCCGUACCAGAUCAGUCGGAGGGACCCACCAGGCGACGGGCCCCAGCUGCCGGCGGAGAAGCCGGCGACCAGAGGCGCUGACAGCCGGGCUCUACACCCGGCCAAGUUACCAUUGUACCCCUGGGGGUUAAGCCUAUAUAAACCCCCCAGGGCACCCAUGCAAAGGGUUCCCAACCUGUUAGAACUAGACUCAUACCUAGAGGAAGAAGAGAGCUAGCCCUGCCUCCUUCUACUUCUAGCACACAGCUCAAGGAGCACCUUGUACUCACUAGUGCCUUAGUGAUCAUGCGGAGACCCCGCAGAGCAGGAGUAGGGAUGUUAUCUCCAAGGAGAGCCCCAAACCUGGGUAAAGUACGCAGGCGUUCUUGUCUACGCCUUAUCCCGCUUCCAGGCACCGACGACGUUCUACUCGCAACCACCAUGAUAAGCCAUCCUUUGGCAUAUGUCGCACCCAACCCCCGACAUUUGGCACCCACCGUGGGGGUGCACCGUCGUCCGGAGAUCUGCUCUGGACGGGAACCUUGUUCCUUCCUGGCGAGCGCAGCUAGGCCAGCACGCCCGACGGUGUCAGCCUCGACGCGCUGCGCGGCGCGGAGAUCGCCUAUGCAGCAAGCUGCCUCGCCGACCUCGUUGGCGAGAUCAGCCUCUCCGACAAGCAUGCAUCCGAUGCAGGCACCGACUGCCCCGAGAACCGUCUCGUCAGCCUCCUCGACCAGCUCCACGUCACCAGCGAGCCUGCUGUCGACUUGGAGUCUGUUGGCUCCAUCGACCCGAUGAUCGUCGACUCCGACACGGCAUCGCUUGACGCGUUCCCCACCAACGUGGUGGUCUACGACAAGCCACCUCCUCGAUAGCACAGUGGCGGGAUCACCGUCAUGAAGGUAUUUGUCAUCACUAGUGGUGAGCACUCGGACGGAGGCGCGCGAGACCCACUCGACGUGGCGCUGCGAGACCUGUCGGCGCCUAUCCCGGGUGACGCAGACGCUGAGACUCUGGAGGCACGCCGCGUCCAGCUCAUCGAAAGUGCCAACCGACUGGCCAGCAUGCGACGCCUCUCGGAAGCCUACUAGCGCGAGAUGGACCGAGCUGUCGGUGGCACGCCGGCUCCUGAGGGGCCUUGCCGCAUCGGCUCGAUCCGGUAGCGUGGCGCGACCAUCGCCAGCAUGUUCGAGACGGAUCGUCCCGUCUACGCCACGCCUGCGAGAACAUCUGGGCUGCCCAGGCAGUGAUGGAUGAGCUGGACAAGUACGAGGGCGACGAGCGUCGCCACAUGACGGAGCGAUUCCAACAGCUCCUUGACGCGGCUGCCGAGCAGCACGAAGCCAGCUGCCGCGCCGAAGCGCCCAUCCGGCAGAACGGCGAGUCGCCCCUUCGCCAGGAUCUCGGCGCGACAUCUCAGACGUCGACUGGCGGCGUCCGUAGUAAGAAAGGCAACGAGCCGGCUGCCAGCCGCAGUGGGACUCAUCUCUCCAUCGAGCGCGACACAUAUGGCCGUCCCCGAGCCGUGGAGCGGUGAGGUGAUCCUUCUCCUCCUCAGCCUCAUGGAGAAAGGCACCCCACUCCACCGCCUGUCACGCACCUGACACUCGGCGACCGCCUCGGCCGCCGGGAGGGAGUCAGCGAGAACGACGCCCGCCAUCGGAUCGAUCACCUCAACCGAUCCCUGGCGCUAGAAGAAGAAGACGCGUUGGGCCCGCCCUGUUUUGGCCCACGAAUCCGAGAUGAGCCUUUCCCUCGGGGGUUCACGCUCCCAAGGGAUACACCCAAGUACACCGGCUCCGUGAAGCCGGAAGACUGGCUCGUCGACUACUCCACGGCCGUCAGCAUAGCGAACGGCAACAAGCGCGUUGCCGUGAAGUACGUCCCGCUCAUGCUCCAAGGCACAUCCCGGACGUGGCAUAACAGCCUGAAGCCCCGCAGCAUCAACAGUUGGGUUGAUUUCACCGAAGCCUUCAUCCACAACUUUACUAGCACGUACAAGCGGCCUCCCAAGCCUUGCCAGCUCUCCUUGUGCGUCCAACAGCCCAACGAAUCGACUCGCGACUACCUCACACGCUGGGCCGAGCUGCGCAACUCCUACGAGGGCGUGCACGAGGUGCAGACCAUCGAAUACUUCACCGCCAGGUGCCGAGAGGGCACCCUCCUCAAGCAUUGACUCCUCUGCGACGAGCCGACGACUCCCGAUGAACUGCUGAUCAUCACCGACAAAUACGCCACAGCCGACUCCUCCAUGAAGGCGGAGAUCCAAGUCGACGCGUCAGGAAAAGUAGCUCCCUAGGCUCCUCGGACCCCGGCUGGUGACACCAGUCGGCGACAGCAACCCAGCGACAACAAGCGCAAAGCCACGCAACCGGCUUCCACCAGCCGGCAGGUGGCGAUAGCUGAAGGCCAGCAGCCGGAGGGGCAGCCCCCACCAAAGCGCCAGAAGGGCGGCAAGCCUAAUUGGUUGCCCGCCUUCUCGUACGAGCAGACUCUUCAUGCCCCCCGCAAGUUCCAUAGUGGCACGAAGCCGUCCAACCACACCACUCGGAAGUGCCACUGGCUCGCCAGAAUCGCCAAGGGAGACGGACUCCUGCCUCCUCCGCCUGCCGGCCCGCCGCCUCCACCGCCCCAGCAGCCGACAGCUCGGCCAGUCGGCACCAUACAAGAUGAGUAUCCUGUGGAGCAUGGAGCCUACGUUGUGUUCACCAGUGUGACCGAUGACAGGCGCAACAGGCGGCAACAGCAGCAAGAAGUACAUGCAGUAGCGUCAGAGACUCUAGAGUUCAUGCACUGGUCCGAGAAGCCCAUCAGUUGGAGCAGGGCUGACCACCCAGAGGUGAUGCCCUCCCCUGGUUCGUAUGCCCUGGUCUUAGACGCCACCUUCACAACAGAGAGGCGGGCAGCUCGCUUCUCCCGAGUCCUGAUAGAUGGCGGCAACAACAUUAACAUCCUGUACCGUGACACAAUGGCGAAGUUGGGAAUCAAGCAGAAGCAGCUUCAACCCAGUCGGACUGUAUUCCAUGGCAUAGUUCCUGGCCUUUCCUGCUCACCAAUCGGCAAGACCCAGAUCAAUGUUCUCUUCAGGGACAAAAAUCACUUCCGCCGAGAGUCAAUUUGGUUUGAGGUGGUGGACCUUGAGAGCCCUUAUCAUGCGAUACUUGGCCGACCUGCUCUGGCCAAGUUCAUGGCGGUCCCCCACUAUGCUUACCUCAAGAUGAAGAUGCCGACUGCCAGGGGGAUCCUGACCAUAGUCGGAGACUACAAGAAGUCGUCCGCCUGUGCUGCAGACAGUAGCCAGCUGGCCGAGUCGCUUGUGAUUGCAGCUGAAAAACGGCUCCUUGACCGGGUUGUGGCGAUGGCAGGCAAGUAGCCGGAAAUGUCACCUCCACCCAAGGAGUUGGAAGUUGAGGGCUCGUUCAAGCCGGCGAAGGAAACAAAGAAGAUACCCUUGGACCCGGAGCACUCGUAGAGGCACGCUCUCAUUGGAACAAGCCUUGAUAGCAAAUAGGAAGGCAAGCUCGUCGAUUUCCUCUGUGAGAAUCGUGACAUCUUUGCAUGGUCUCCCAAAGACAUGCCGGGUGUCCCGACGGAUUUCGCCGAGCACAAGCUACAGGUCCGACCUGACGUCAAGCCGGUCAGGCAGCCCUUGCGCCGCCUGUUAGAAGAAAAGAGAAGAGUUGUUGGAGAAGAGAUAGCCCGACUUCUAGCAGCCGGCUUCAUCAUGGAAGUAUUCUUCCCAGAGUGGUUGGCCAACCCAGUUCUUGUGCUGAAGAAGAAUAAACAAUGGCGCAUAUGUAUUUAUUAUACCAGCCUCAACAAAGCUUGCCCCAAAGAUCCCUUUGCUUUGCUAAGAAUCGACCAAGUGAUAGACUCCACAGCCAGAUGCGAGCUACUGAGUUUUUUGGAUGCAUACUCAGGGUACCAUCAGAUCAAGCUGAACCCGGCCAAAAGGCUGAAGACCGCCUUCAUCACGCCCUUCGGAGCCUUCUGCUACCUGACCAUGACGUUCGACUUGAGGAAUGCCGGCGCCAUGUUUCAGCGUUGCAUGCAAAGGUGUCUCCUCAAGCAACUCAGUAGAAAUGCCCAUGUUUACGUGGACUAUGUGGUGGUGAAGACGAAGAAGCGUGGCAUGCUGCUAGAAGACCUAAAAGAGAAAUUUGAGAACUUGCGCCAAUUUCAAAUCAAGCUCAACUCGGAGAAAUGCGUCUUUGGAGUACCAGUCGGCCAACUUCUUGGCUUCCUGGUCUCAGAGCGCGGCAUAGAGUGCAACCCUGUGAAGAUCAAGGCCAUCGAGAAGAUGGAGGUGCCCGCCCGACUGCUGGACGUACAAAAGUUCACCGGCUGCCUGGCAUCUAUCAGCUGUUUCAUCAGUCGGCUGGGUGAGAAGGCUCUCCCCCUGUACCAGCUCAUGAAGAAGACCACUUUUUUGAGUGGAACGACAAGGCGGAUGAAGCUUUCCGCCAGCUCAAGAAGAUGUUGACCACCCCUCCUAUCCUGGCGGCCCCGACUGACAAGGAGCCCAUGCUCCUCUACAUCGCCGCCACCAGUCGGGUGGUCAACACAGUCAUAGUGGUGGAGCGCAAGGAGGAAGGCAAAGCAUUGCCAAUCCAGAGGCCGGUGUAUUACCUGAGUGAAGUGUUGUCCGCCUCCAAGCAAAACUACCCCCACUAUCAGAAGAUGUGCUAUGGUGUGCACUUUGCCCCCAAGAAACUCAAGCCUUACUUUCAAGAGCACCCAACUACUGUUGUCUGCACCGCUCCGCUUGCUGAGAUCAUUGGAAGCCGAGAUGCUUCAGGCCGAGUGGCCAAAUGGGCCAUAGAUCUGCCCCCUACACCAUCUACUACCAGCUUCGCACCGCCAUCAAGUCACAAGCGCUGGCCGACUUCCUCGUCGACUGGGCCGAGACCCAGUACCUGCCGCCAGCGCCAGACUCCACCCAUUGGUGGAUGCACUUUGAUGGUUCAAAAAUACGCACCGGUCUAGGAGACGGCAUCGUCCUCACCUCUCCCAAGGACGACAAGCUCAGAUAUGUGCUACAAAUCCACUUCGCCGCCUCCAACACCGCAUCUGAAUACGAGGCGCUCAUACACGGGCUCCGGCUUGCCAAGGAACUCGGCAUUCGCCGGAUCCUGUGCUAUGGUGACUCUGACUUGGUGGUUCAGCAGUCGUUAGGUGACUGGGAUGCCAAGGAUGCAAAUAUGACGAGCUACCGCUUACUCGUACAUCAACUCAGUGGAUACUUUGAGGGGUGCGAGUUACUCCACGUGCCAAGAAAUGAAAACGAGCAAGCAGAUGCCCUAGCACGGAUCGGCUCCACCCGACAAGCAAUACUAGCCGGCGUCGCCCUACGGCGCCUCCUCAAGCCGUUUGUCAAGUCGUCGCCAGAAUCAGACUCCAUCUUCAUGUCGACCCCUCCCGAAGCAGUCGGUUCCGACUUGAGGGACAUAGAGGCCGGCGCGGGGACUUCAGCAGGCGGCCUGGGGACUGCGGCCGCUGCACCCGGCCCGGGGACUCCAGAGCCUGGAUCGGGGACUGCAGCAGUCAGCCCAGGGACUUCUUCAACUCAACAGGCGGCAACCGACUCCAACCCGCUACCUCCCGGCCCAACCGCCCUUGUACAAAUUGCAGUCGUGGCAGUCGAAGAAAUAGCAGCAGCAUCAUGGGCUCAACCAAUCCUCAAAUUUCUGGUGAAUAAAGAACUGCCGACUGAUGAGAUCUCAGCCCGACAAGUGCAACAACGAGCAGUAGCAUACUCCAUCGUCAACAGAGAACUAGUGCGGUGCAGUGUCACUGGGGUGUACCAGCGCUACAGGACUAGGGCCAAGCAAUCCUCAAGGAUAUCCACUAAGGUGAAUGCGGUCACCACGCGGCUUCAAGAUCACUUGUUGCCAAGGCUUUCCGCCAUGGUUUUUUCUGGCCGACUGCUCUGGAAGAGGCCAAAGAAUUGGUCCAUAAGUGUCAAGGGUGCCAGAAGUUCCGCUCCAAGCCACAUCUGCUGGCUUAUGCACUCAAGACUAUUCCCAUCGCCUGGCCCUUUGCCGUUUGGGGACUGGACAUGGUGGGACCAUUCAAGACGGCUCGCGGCGGCAUGACUCAUUUACUUGUCGCUGUGGACAAGUUUACCAAGUGGAUAGAAGCAAAGCCAAUCAAGAAAUUGAAUGGGCCGACUGCCGUGACCUUCAUCACCGACAUCACCACUCAGUACGGCAUACCACACAACAUCAUCACUGACAACGGCACAAACUUCGCCAAAGGAGCCUUGGCUCAUUUCUGCACGACGCAGGACAUCCGACUGGACUUAGUGUCCGUUGCCCAUCCGUAGUCAAACGACCAAGUGGAGCGAGCAAACGGCCUCAUUCUGUCCGGCAUCAAGCCUCGACUGGUCGAAUCUCUAAAGCGUUCGGCCGGCUGCUGGCUCGAUGAGCUGCCGGCCGUCCUCUGGAGCCUGCGCACAACUCCGAACAAGUCGACCGGCUUCACACCCUUCUUCCUCGUCUACGGUGCCGAGGCCGUCAUCCCAACGGACAUAGAAUUUGACUCCCCACGAGUAACCAUGUUCACCAAGGCGGACGCCAAGGAAGCACGAGAAGACGGCGUCGACCUGCUGGAAGAGGGCCGGCUGUUGGCACUCAGCCGGUCCGCCAUCUACCAGCAGAGUCUGCGCCGAUACUACAACCGCAAGAUGAAGCAAGAUCCUUCCAAGAGGGAGACCUUGUGCUCCUGCUGAUCCAGCGAACAGCCGGCCAGCACAAGCUCUCAGCGCCUUGGGAAGGCCCUUUCAUCAUCAGCAAAGUGAUGGGCAACAAUUCCUACUACCUGAUCGAUGCUUAGAAGCCCAGAGCAUGCGAAAGAGACGACUCAAGCAAGGAGAUGGAGAGGCCAUGGAACGCAAACCUCCUCCGAAGAUUUUACAGUUAAAAGCAGUAUGUAUCACCCUACCUUUUGUAUUAAGUACGAAGACUCCGGGUCCCCCGAGAAGAGCUCGGGGACUACCCUUUUUUAUCUAUAUGAUAAGAAUUAUGCCCAUGAAUGUGUUGUUUCAUUAUUCCGCCUGGCACUUGGCUCGACUAGUCGGCCCAGGGGGCUCGCCUCCUUCUACUAUGCGUCAUCUCCUGCAGUCGGACAAGUAGUAUGUCGGCACCAAAAAACUUCUCCUGUCAGAAGCCGCAGCUCGCAGAGCGACUGUACAGUGGACAGGAGUUGCCUGAGCAGUGCCCAUACGAAAAACGGCUAAGGAAAAAGUGCGCAUAGCCGAGGCCGGCAUCCCGCCUACUCGACCGGCUGCUGAGCAGCCGGCCGGCCGGUUUUUACUUACCUUGCCAAUGCCCCAAUCGAUUAAGUACUUGCCCUCCGAAAGAAGCUAAACACUUGGCCCAGCUGCAGUCCGCAGAGCGGCUGUCCGGCUGGCCAGGGGAUAGCAAAGGGAGAGCGGCAAAGAAAAAUAGCGAGGGGCAGAAAGCAAGAAAAGUUAGAACUCGGCAAAUAAAGCAUAAUUUAUGACAAAGAAUAUUUACAUAGCAAAGGCCCAGUGGCCAGCAUUCAGCAAAGUUUGAAAUACACCCCGCGGGUGGAAUUGUGCGAAUUUAACCAAAAGUCUAUCGAGAACGAUAAGCAGGAAAAUAAAGGCGAUGGCCUAAGGAGCAGCAUAAGGUUCCGACUGGGCAGUGGAGUCGGCAGCGCCGGCUGGAGCAGCGGAUGGCUAGACAGCUGAGUCGGCGGCACCGAUUGGUGGAACGGAUGACUGGUCUGUCGCUGCCUGGUCGCCUCCAGCAGAAGUUGGCGUACUUGAGUGUGGAUCGUUGCUCGAGGCGCAGUCAGGCUGAGGCUGGCCGUCCGCUCCGACCUCCGGCACGUCCUCUUUGCUGUCCUCAUCCUCCGCGUCCUCCCCUUCAUCGCUGGAAUCAAUCACCUCGACCGAAUCUUUGAUGUCCUCUGGAUUCAGCCCGAACCACUCCGGCGGCGCUUCGGCGCCUUCAUCAACCAACUCCGCGAUGAAGACGCUGGUGUUGGUGUAGUCGACGAUCGCCGCCGCCCGCUUGACAAGCUCGCCCUCCACCGCCGCCAGCUCCUCCAGCGCCUCCUGCCAGAACGUGGUCAACUAGGCUAGAUCCAGCCCAGGGUACCACGCCCUAACGAAUUCCAAAGCCUGGCACGCUCCAGCCCGGGCCGAAGAACCCUUCCAGGCCUCCAGGCGGCCGGCCGCCACCUCCAGCCAGUCAGCAGUCCGACUGGGUGUGUGCGGGGCCGGCACGCCUGGCCAGAGGGCAGAAAUCGCCUGGGCCCCGACGCGUUGAAGAUGACGCAACAUCUGGUGAGCCGACCAAAGGCGGGCCUGGAUGCUGAGAAGCUGCUCGUUAAGUGUCCGGGGAGCAUCGGUGGCAAUCUGCACGCCCUCUGCCCUCCGCUCCUCGUGAGAGGCCUCAAUGGCCUGGUUUGCGACAGCGGAGUGGCCUGGGAAGAAGUCUGUGUGGGCGAAAAAGCAAACAAGACAUAAGUUAAAAGCAUACGGUCGGCCCAGUCCAGAGGCCAGCAGCUCAAAGAAAGAAAAAAGAGGAAACUUACCGAAGACCAUGUCCUCGACACUACCGAAGCCGGCAGACAGCGGCGCCUCCUUUUUGGCCCAGAUGGAGCGCUCGAUCUCAAACUCAGCAAGGAGGUCGGUCUCCUUUGUCUUCGCCUCCUUUUGAGCCGUCUGGAGACGCUCCGUCUGCUCCGCCAGCUGUGUAACCAGUCGGUCACGCUCCUCGGCCAGCUUACUGCACUCCGCCGCCUUGGCGCGCAGCGCGGUGUUGGUUUCACCCAGCUGCUGCUGCAAGGCGGCAUUGGCCUCUGCCAACAAAGAAGAAGGGAAAAGACAUCAACAUUCGACAAGAAAAGGAUGCAGUUGCUUGGGAGAUCCGACCCGACUGCUCAGCAGUCGGCCCGAAUCUCGGGGACUACAGCCCGCGGGUGCGCCAUCGCGCCCCCACAGAAGAAGAAGUUAUCAAUGAUCAACCAAAGAAAUGCAAUUGCCGGGGAGAUCUGGCCCGACUGCUCAGCAGUCGGCCCGAAUCUCGGGGACUACAGCCCGCGGGUGCGCCAGCGCGCUCCCGCAGGAAAGGAAAGCCAAGACUUACUCCGGCUCUCUGACAAGUUGGCGGUCUGCCUCUCCAGCUCCCGGACUUCAGAGUUGAAGGUGGCCGCGAAGGUUGUGAUAAUCCUGUAAUAAAGAUGUCAGAAGGAGUUAGCACCUGGUGCUUGCAAAGUUAAAGUUCCGGACCGCCUGCUCAGCAGCCGACUCGAAACUUGGGGACUACACCCAGUGGGUGCGCCAGCGUGCCCCCACCAAGAAAUAGAAAAAAAA